This 1168-nucleotide long non-coding RNA is filed under the name Homo sapiens (human). Its description in RNAcentral is "non-protein coding lnc-TMTC3-18:5". The record is from RNAcentral. Lineage: Eukaryota; Metazoa; Chordata; Mammalia; Primates; Hominidae.
GUUCUACCCUAUAGCUAUGUUUGUGCCACUACCACCUCCUGCCUCAAAGAAACUCUUGCCAGGGUGAUUUACCAAGGAUAAAGAUGUCUAAUUUAAGUUGGACCAACCCAAUUCUCUUUCUUGGAAAUUUGAAACUAGAAGAGAGCCACAUGGAGAAUGAAGGUCUUAUUUCAACUGUUGUUCAGGAAUGAUCCAAACAAAUUCAGAAGCAGAUUUAAAUGUUAUAGCAAACACUGGUAAUCUGGAUUUUUCAGUUUUCUCUGGUACUUCCCACUGGUUUCAAACUGCUCUCCUUCCAAAUUUAGUAAUGUUUAUUCCAGAAUGAAUGUAUUAAAUCUGAACUGUUUAAUAAGAGUAGCCAACCCCCAAAGUUAGAAUAAAGGGAAAGGCAAAACAUGCCACCCAUUAAGAAGCCAAGGCAUUACCAAGGUAAUUCUAUCAUCUAUCUCUUUCUCACACAAUGUGAGAUUUGGCAUUCUUGUCUACUCCUUUCCCGGGCUGCAGGCAGGAGAAGAAAAGAAGAUAGAUAUUCUCCUCACAACCCCCCAUACUCAUGCAAACACACACAAAGGCAAAAGUAUUGAUAAUUUAUCACAGAACCACAUCUACUCCUUGUUCUUACUGCCUUGUUACUUUCAUUAUGGUCUUCUCAAUUUAGGAAAACAGAUCUCAUAAACUCUCUUUGGUAAAGCAGAUAAUAAUAAUUUAUUUAAUUUUUACAUAGUGCCAAAAUUGAUCUAAGUCUUAUGCAUGUGCUAACUGAUUUAACAAUUAUAUUGACUCCAUGAGGAAGUUACUAUAAUUAUUUGCAGUUUAUAGAGGAGGAAAUUGAGGCACAGAGAAAAUUAGCAACUAAGGUCAUAGGGCUAGUGAAUGGCAGAACAGUAUUUAAAUCUUGAAAAUCUGAUUUAGAGUUUGCCCUCCCAACCAAUUUGUUAUGCCUUUGUCUAAUUUUAUCGAGUCAAUUAAAUGAAAUGAAUGCUUGGCAGCCCUUGUGUCUAAAUUUGUGACAGAAUUUAUCUACUUACCUUGUAUUAGGAUUGUUAGACUCAGACAACAUAAGGGAAAUCUAUUGUCAUUAGCCCACAUAGACACUAUUCCAAGUCCAUAACCUCAAAUUAAAUUGUCAAUGCUGCCAUGCAUGGCAGGAGCCAAGAGAAUCUUUCUA